RNAcentral lists this long non-coding RNA (925 nucleotides) under Daucus carota (carrot). Its description in RNAcentral is "long non-coding RNA (DCAR_LNC005005)". Lineage: Eukaryota; Viridiplantae; Streptophyta; Magnoliopsida; Apiales; Apiaceae. The record is from RNAcentral.
UGGGAAAGUAAUUUUGAAGAGCAAAUAUUGCUUUUGUGUUCAGCAGAGACGAUUGAGAGCGAUGUGGACAAGAUCUAAUAAUCAGUCCAUCUCAUCCGUCUACCUCAUCCGUCUACAAGAACUGAGGCACAUCCACUCUUAUUGCCUACAGAAGUAAAAAAUCACUAUAAUUUACAUCCACUCUUUGUAUUUAAUAUCACUCUUACUGCCUCAGUACUCAUUCUAGGCUAAAUUACUAACACAACAAAUCACUAUAAACACGAAUCACUAACACGAAAUUACAUCAUAUCAUGUAAUUACUACUAAAUCAGUAACAACAAAUCACAUCAUAUCAAACACGAAAUCACUAACACAACAAAUCACUAUAAAUUAGUAGACAAAUCAGUAAAAAUACAAAUCACAAGUAGUAAGCACUAAAGCCACCAUGUAAUUACUACUAAAUCAUCAUAAAGUGACAGCUUCAUAAACAUAAACAUAAGAUGAGCUAUGUAUACAGAGUGAAACAUAAUCACAUAGAGAGAGGGAGGGAGGGAGAGGGAGAUUGCUUAUGUAAAGCUCAAUUAAACACCUCACUCAAUUCAUCACCAUGUAAUUACUACUAAAUUCAUAAACAUAAACAUAAACAGAGCUAUGUAUAGAGAGAGAAACAUAAACAGUGAGAGAGAGAGAGAAACAUAAACAGAGAGAGAUUGCUUAUGCAAAGCUCAGUUAAACACCUCACUCAAUUCAUCACUGAAAUCCACCAAAAAAUCAAAAAAAAGACACAAACUUGUCACUCAAUUGAACAUAACGAUACAUAUAGAUGAAAUUUGAGAAAGAAAACAAGAAAGAUAUAAACACAGCUAUGUAUAGAUGAUUACUGUACCUCACAAAGCCUGACCUCCACAAUCAAGUGCGGAAAAUAUCAGAUCAUCCACGAGUUAAC